GCCAGACUCCUACGGGAGGCAGCAGUGGGGAAUAUUGCACAAUGGGGGAAACCCUGAUGCAGCGACGCCGCGUGAGUGAAGAAGUAUUUCGGUAUGUAAAGCUCUAUCAGCAGGGAAGAAAAUGACGGUACCUGAUUAAGAAGCCCCGGCUAACUACGUGCCAGCAGCCGCGGUAAUACGUAGGGGGCAAGCGUUAUCCGGAUUUACUGGGUGUAAAGGGAGCGUAGACGGUGAUGCAAGUCAGAAGUGAAAGCCCGGGGCUCAACUCCGGGACUGCUUUUGAAACUGUGUGACUGGAGUGCAGGAGAGGUAAGCGGAAUUCCUGGUGUAGCGGUGAAAUGCGUAGAUAUUAGGAAGAACACCAGUGGCGAAGGCGGCUUACUGGACAGUAACUGACGUUGAGGCUCGAAAGCGUGGGGAGCAAACAGGAUUAGAUACCCGAGUA
RNAcentral lists this ribosomal RNA (445 nucleotides) under uncultured bacterium. Its description in RNAcentral is "bacterial SSU rRNA". It matches the Rfam family "Bacterial small subunit ribosomal RNA", at positions 330 to 792 of the family's 1533-position model. The record is from RNAcentral.